Molecule: ribosomal RNA, 490 nt
Filed under: uncultured bacterium
Lineage: Bacteria
Description: partial 16S ribosomal RNA
Rfam family: Bacterial small subunit ribosomal RNA
Source: RNAcentral
AUUGAACGCUGGCGGCAGGCCUAACACAUGCAAGUCGAACGGUAACAGGAAGAAGCUUGCUUCUUUGCUGACGAGUGGCGGACGGGUGAGUAAUGUCUGGGAAACUGCCUGAUGGAGGGGGAUAACUACUGGAAACGGUAGCUAAUACCGCAUAACGUCGCAAGACCAAAGAGGGGGACCUUCGGGCCUCUUGCCAUCGGAUGUGCCCAGAUGGGAUUAGCUAGUAGGUGGGGUAACGGCUCACCUAGGCGACGAUCCCUAGCUGGUCUGAGAGGAUGACCAGCCACACUGGAACUGAGACACGGUCCAGACUCCUACGGGAGGCAGCAGUGGGGAAUAUUGCACAAUGGGCGCAAGCCUGAUGCAGCCAUGCCGCGUGUAUGAAGAAGGCCUUCGGGUUGUAAAGUACUUUCAGCGGGGAGGAAGGGAGUAAAGUUAAUACCUUUGCGCAUUGACGUUACCCACAGAAGAAGCACCGGCUAACUCCGUG